This 531-nucleotide long non-coding RNA is filed under the name Citrus sinensis (sweet orange). RNAcentral describes it as "long non-coding RNA (CSIN_LNC002383)". Lineage: Eukaryota; Viridiplantae; Streptophyta; Magnoliopsida; Sapindales; Rutaceae. The record is from RNAcentral.
GUCUCUGAGUGUUUGGUGUGAUUGUAGUUAACAAUUUGUAUUAACUUGGAGCUAUGUUUCGUGUUUCUGUUAUAAUUUGUUGCUCGCUUGACAUGUUAAUUUAUUUAUUUGGUUUUAAUUGAAUUGCUGUGUGCUUAAAUUAAGUCGUGUAUGUUAGAGUACUUAUUCAAAUAGGUUAAAAUUGUGAUACUAGUUUGAGCUAUAUCGUGUUUGGGUUUAGUACUCCCGUGGUUGACAUCAAUCUGUUAACUCCAUAUGACCUGAACUCCGAGAGUCAUGGUUUCACGAUUGCUCAGGCAAGUAUUUUUUUAAUCCAAGUUAUUGGUCUUGGCAUCAUGGUCGCGAUCUGUUUGGUCUCGUUUUGUUUUAACUUCUGUCUGUUAGAUUAUUGAAUCUUUCUUCAUUUUUUUCUGCCUCAGGAUUGUCAACCUUAUUUGCCCUGUCAAGGAGCUAGACAGGAGGUUAUAAGAUCUGACAGCUUUAAUUUAAAGUCACACCAACCUGAGAAGUCGUGGAAACCAUUAAGUGGGC